AUAUACAGUAUAUAAUAGUAAGUGCAUAUAUAAGUACAUAUAUACAGGGGCGGGGGGGCGGGGGUUGGGCGCGCAUUACUUACGUAUACGAUCCUAUACACAGAAAAAGGAAAAACAUUUAUAUUGGAUGUAAUACAGCAAUAGUUCCAAGUAAUUUUUAUCGACGGAUUAAAAUUUAAUCGAUUUGGAUUAUCGAACGAUAAAUUAUAGAUGAAAUGUCGUAAAGGAGAAAAAUUUGGGCAUUUCAAACGUUCUAAAACCGACUGUAAAAGUUAUUAUUGAAGCGGUAUUCUGUGACAAUGAAAGUAUACCAGAAGAAUAGAUCUAUUGGGCGAACAAUUAUUCAAAACGUUCUCUAUGCUAAAAUCGUCAAGAUAUUUUUGAUUGACAGUAUUAUUCGUAUAACGAAAUGGCCGAGAAAAUCUACGGAUCUAAAUCUAAUCGAGAUGCUGUCGAUUAAUAUUGGCAAAUAGGUAAAAAGAAACAAACAAAAGCCGAAAAAUACUGAAGAUUUAUAUAUUAUUGUACAAGAGGCAUGGAACUUGCUAGUAAAUUUCUUCGAUUUAUCAUAUCUACACGUCGCAAGGGUGUGCUGAAAUUAUUAGAAAUAAGGAUGUACACAUGAAA
Long non-coding RNA from Vespa mandarinia (Asian giant hornet), 627 nucleotides. The record is from RefSeq and is a predicted model, not a curated record. Lineage: Eukaryota; Metazoa; Arthropoda; Insecta; Hymenoptera; Vespidae.